CUGGCCCAAGGUUCAUGCUGCUUCCUUUUACAUCAUCUUCAGUCUGAGACGUGAAGCCUUCUUCUGUAAUGUGCUGUUUGCCAUCACCUUUGACCCGUUCUAAUGUCCUCCCGUCAUACAGUGUAGCUUCAGAUGAAUUCCGUGAAAUUCCUUGCAUGGCUGGUGCAAUCUUCAACACAUCAUUUUGCUUAUCUGAAUUUGAUGGUCCUCUGCCAGCACAGGAAGGAUGGAGCUGUUGAAGAUGAGAGACCAAGCCCCAUGAGUUAUCCUUAUCCAGCGUUGGAAGCUGUACAGGUGAAUAGCCAAACAUUACAGGCAAAUUUCCAGGAUUCACAGACUGAGUCCCUGUUCGCUGCUCACCAUUUGACGUAACCUGCAUCAUUCCUGGCAGAGGAUGGCCUGAAGAGCUGGGCACACCAAUAGUGUUAGAUUCUUUUACAGGAAAUGAGUAUGGUAAAUUCAUGAUGUUUACUGGUCGGACAGAGAAUGGAACUCCAUAAUUCAAGUUUCCAUGCUUAAUUUCAGAUUCUGAUGAACCAUUAGGCCUCUUUUGCC
RNAcentral lists this unclassified non-coding RNA (555 nucleotides) under Hevea brasiliensis (rubber tree). The record is from RNAcentral. Lineage: Eukaryota; Viridiplantae; Streptophyta; Magnoliopsida; Malpighiales; Euphorbiaceae.